CCUACGGGUGGCAGCAGUCGAGAAUCAUUCACAAUGGGGGAAACCCUGAUGGUGCGACGCCGCGUGGGGGAAGGAAGGUCUUCGGAGUGUAAACCCCUGUCAUGGGGGAGCAAAGUAAAAAGAUAGUACCACAAGAGGAAGAGACGGCUAACUCUGGGCCAGCAGCCGCGGUAAGACAGAGGUCGCAAGCGUUGUUCGGAAGCACUGGGCGUAAAGCGUGCGUAGGCUGUUUCGUAAGUCGUGGGUGAAAGGCGCGGGCUCAACCCGCGGACGGCACCUGAGACUGCGAGACUAGAGUAAUGGAGGGGGAACCGGAAUUCUCGGUGUAGCCGU
RNAcentral lists this ribosomal RNA (333 nucleotides) under uncultured bacterium. Its description in RNAcentral is "partial 16S ribosomal RNA". It matches the Rfam family "Bacterial small subunit ribosomal RNA", at positions 338 to 682 of the family's 1533-position model. The record is from RNAcentral.